GGGGAUUUAGCUCAGUGGUAGAGCACUUGCCUAGCAAGCACAAGGCCCUGGGUUCGGCCCCAGCUCCG
Molecule: transfer RNA, 68 nt
Filed under: Rattus norvegicus (Norway rat)
Lineage: Eukaryota; Metazoa; Chordata; Mammalia; Rodentia; Muridae
Rfam family: tRNA
About the family: Transfer RNA (tRNA) molecules are approximately 80 nucleotides in length. Their secondary structure includes four short double-helical elements and three loops (D, anti-codon, and T loops).
Source: Rfam by way of RNAcentral